This 254-nucleotide ribosomal RNA is filed under the name uncultured bacterium. RNAcentral describes it as "partial 16S ribosomal RNA". It matches the Rfam family "Bacterial small subunit ribosomal RNA", at positions 524 to 776 of the family's 1533-position model. The record is from RNAcentral.
UACGGGGGGAGCAAGCGUUGUUCGGAUUUACUGGGCGUAAAGGGCGCGUAGGCGGCCACCGCAAGUCAGUUGUGAAAUCUCUGGGCUUAACCCAGAACGGUCAGCUGAUACUGCGGGGCUAGAGUGCAGAAGGGGCAACUGGAAUUCUCGGUGUAGCGGUGAAAUGCGUAGAUAUCGAGAGGAACACCUGCGGCGAAGGCGGGUUGCUGGGCUGACACUGACGCUGAUGUGCGAAAGCUAGGGGAGCGAACGGG